RNAcentral lists this unclassified non-coding RNA (347 nucleotides) under fungal sp. RNAcentral describes it as "partial internal transcribed spacer region". Lineage: Eukaryota; Fungi. The record is from RNAcentral.
AAGUCGUAACAUAGGUGAACCUGCGGAAGGAUCAUUAACACGUAUCAACGUUAAAACCCCUGUGAACUGUGUGAAGCACAUCAAGUGGGAGGAACAGUUUUGAUUCGGAACCUCUGCUCCAUAUGCGCACGCUGCAAUUGAGCGGUAGAAGCAGUGGCAUGGCGUCCCCAAGCUCCAGUGAAUGAAAGUGUCACUGGAAAGUGUAAGGAUAACGCUUCUCGGUUGCUAGAGGUCGAUCACCGACCGGCAGAGGGUCACCGCGCCCUAACUCACUCCCUCUGGCGCCGUUGAAAAGCUGCGCUAAAAAAAAAACCGAACAACUGUUAACAAUGGAUAUCUUGGUUCUC